AUGUGUUUGCUUUGGUAGCACAUAUAUUAAAUAAUUGGAAUAAUACUGAGAAGAUUAGCAUAGCUCCUGCCCAAGGAUGACACACAAAUUUGUGAAGCCUUCCAUAUUUUU
Molecule: small nuclear RNA, 111 nt
Organism: Bos grunniens (domestic yak)
Lineage: Eukaryota; Metazoa; Chordata; Mammalia; Artiodactyla; Bovidae
Source: Ensembl